GAUGAACGCUGGCGGCGUGCCUAAUACAUGCAAGUCGAGCGAACAGACGAGGAGCUUGCUCCUCUGACGUUAGCGGCGGACGGGUGAGUAACACGUGGAUAACCUACCUAUAAGACUGGGAUAACUUCGGGAAACCGGAGCUAAUACCGGAUAAUAUAUUGAACCGCAUGGUUCAAUAGUGAAAGACGGUUUUGCUGUCACUUAUAGAUGGAUCCGCGCCGCAUUAGCUAGUUGGUAAGGUAACGGCUUACCAAGGCGACGAUGCGUAGCCGACCGGAGAGGGUGAUCGGCCACACGGGAAGUGAGACGCGGUCCAGACUCCUAAGGGAGGCAGCAGUAGGGAAUCUGCCGCAAUGGGCGAAAGCCUGACGGAGCAACGCCGCGUGAGUGAUGAAGGCCUUCGGAUCGUAAUACCCGGUUAUGAGGGAAGAACAAAUGUGUAAGUAACUAUGCACGUCUUGACGGUACCUAAUCAGAAAGCCACGGCUAACUACGUG
RNAcentral lists this ribosomal RNA (497 nucleotides) under uncultured bacterium. RNAcentral describes it as "partial 16S ribosomal RNA". It matches the Rfam family "Bacterial small subunit ribosomal RNA", at positions 28 to 507 of the family's 1533-position model. The record is from RNAcentral.